RNAcentral lists this long non-coding RNA (847 nucleotides) under Marmota monax (woodchuck). Lineage: Eukaryota; Metazoa; Chordata; Mammalia; Rodentia; Sciuridae. The record is from RNAcentral.
ACUUGGGCUUAGACUUGCUGAACUUGGAGAACUAUCAAGCUCUUCUGGAGGCAUAUGGACCUAUGGGUGGACUGAAGCCCAGUCCUUGCUCUACUGGUUCUUUCUGCUGUCUUUUCUCUACACUGCUCUUAGUUUCUCACCUCUAUGACCUUUCUUCUAUUUCAUCUCCUAUUUAGGCCCCUCCUCCUCCCCUCUCAGUGCAUGUCUCCUUGCAUUCAGGCAGUUUUCCACAGUGAACCAGAGGUAGGGCCAGUAGGAGGGGUGCAGCCAUGAUCCUGUAGACACUGUCACUCACCAGUCAGGUUAUCUCUUUAUUCUUUUUAUUCAUAAAAAGUCAUAAAACCAGGGGAAACAAAGUUAGAAAGGUAUAAAAUUGAGUGGUCCUUAGUUUCAGCAGAAUCUUAUAUUCAUUUUUUGCCCCAUUAAAAAAAAAAGAAGCCUCAGUUUUGCGUAUGAUUGCAGAAAUACUAGUAUUUUAGUGGAAGUAGAGUAGGACUCCAUAUAUGAUCAGAGUAUUAUCAUCAAGGCUUUCAGAAGCAAAUUUUCAGUGACUUUGGCAAGAUAUAGCAAUGCAUUCCUCCAAAUAGUUCAUUUGUCUGGAUGAUAUUUUGUUUUGUUCUGUUCUGUUUUCUCAGGCACAGUGUCUUCCAUUCCAUGAGAAUAAUGGUGUGGGAGAAAGGCUGAGAAUUAUACUUUCCAAUGCAAUAUUUGCCAGUCCUGUGGAAAAUAAGAUUUUAACAAAGUUCACUGUUCAGCCAACAUACUAGAUGGAAUGGCAGAAAUUCAACAAGUUUGUGUGUGUGUGUGUGUGUAUAGAAGUACACAUAAGCAAAGUAGACAAUGUCAA